RNAcentral lists this ribosomal RNA (115 nucleotides) under Candidatus Woesearchaeota archaeon. Lineage: Archaea; Nanobdellati; Candidatus Woesearchaeota. The record is from RNAcentral.
AUGAACGGUCAUAGGUGCCUGGUUCCACCUAGUCACAUCCGAACCUAGAAGUUAAGCAGGCAUACGUCUUGAGCGGUACUAUGUUUUCACAUGGGAAACUUGGAUGCUGUUCAUC